CUCUCAGCAGAUGGGGGAGCCAGAUGGAGUGGAAAGAUGGUUUUUCCCCUGGAGUUGGGCUAUUCAGUGGCCAGACUCUCCUGGGACCACCCCAGCCAAACUCCACGUUGUUCUGUGUUUGGAAUUGGUGGGUUCUUGAUCUCACCAACUUCAAGAAUGAAGCUGCGGACCCACGCAGUGAAUGUUACAGUUCCUAAAGAUGGUAUGUCUGGAGUUUGUUCCUUCUGAUGUUCGGAGUUUCUUCCUUCUGGUGGGUUCAUGGUCUCGCUGGCUUCAGGAGUGAAGCUGCAGACCGCGGUGAGUGUUACAGCUCUUAAGGCAGCGCGUCAAGAGAAUAGGGGAAUGCCAGGAACAGUGCUUUACAAGUCUCCAGUGUAGGGGCUAACUCAUUAUUAACUCUAGCUUAAAGUUAUCUGACAUUUAUUACAUACUUUUAUCAUGCUUGAUAUAGAAAUUAUUUUCUCCAAGAUGAGAACAUUUUUCCACUUAAAAAAUAAAAUUAGAACCUUUAUUAUAUAAUCCAAAUGUAUACACACAGGUAUAGAGCACAUAAUCCAGCAUUAUGUACUCAAGUUAUUUACUGGAAGUUUUUUUAAUCUCAGAAAAGGAUUAUAAAGGUAUUUUGUUGGAGUUGGAGGGUAUUAGAAAUACACAGAUUGAAAAUAUUACAUUCUCAGGGAAACUGGGUACUAGUGAAGCCUUUACUUUACACAGAUAGUCCACAUCUUCUGGGUGUUCAUAAGACUGACUGCAUCUAUUCCUCAGGGAAGAAAUGGCCUGUAUCAGGCAGGAAUAGACUGUAUUUAUAUUAGCACAGAUGAAAUGGACAUAAUGUACUUUUGGUUAAUCAUAUUUACUUAGCCUUGUAAAAAAUGGCCACCUUAACUGUGACUUUAAAGUGUUUACAUAAAAUAAUUUGUGAAGGUUGCAUUUCUCGUUUUAACUCUGGUGUUUUUGCUUAGUUGUUACUCUUUCAUCUACCCUCCCCCUGUCCCCCAUUAUGUCUACAAAAGGAAUAUCAAUGCUGAAAGUAUGAAUACAGUACUGAUAUGGUUUGGAUGUUUUGGCCCCUCCAGAUCUCAUGUUGAAAUGUGACCUCCAAUGUUAAAAGUGAGCCUAGUGGAUAGUGGUUGGAUCAUAGGGGAUGAUCCCUCUUGAUGGCUUGGUUCGAACCUUGCAGUAAUGAGUGAGUUCUCAGUCUAUGAGUUUGUGUAACAUCUGGUUGUUAAAAAGGGUUGGAACUUCCUCCUCUCUCUCUCUUGCUCCCACUUUGCCAUUUAAUAUACUGUGAUAUACUGGCUCCUCCUCCACCUUCUGCCAUGAUUAUAAGCUUCCUGAGGCCCUCACCAGAAGCUGGUGCUGGGACCAUGCUUCCUACACAGCCUGCAGAGGCAUGAGCCAAAAUAAACCUAUUUUUUUUUUUUGUAAAUUACUCAGCCACAGAUGUUCCUUUAUAGCAAUACAAAUGGACUGACACAAUUACUGUCUUCAUGUCACCACAUCCUACAUGCAUAUUCUACCUUCCACAGUGGGUUCCCAGACAGUGCUGCCAUACAGGAUAAUCUCCUCCCUCACUCCUGUAACAAAACCUCCACUGCACAUUUCCCCACAUAAUUAUAUUCCCAUUGGAUUAAUUCUCUCCUGUUUUAAAAUCUUGUUCCCCUGCUAGUUCAUAAAAUUUGGGGGAGAAAAAGGUAAUAAAUGUUGGUUAUAUUAUAUUCCUUGACAUGCUUAGCACAUUUCCGGGAAUACACAGGUUGAGUAUUCCUUAUCCAAAAUGCUUGGGACAAAAAGUGUUUCC
Molecule: long non-coding RNA, 1801 nt
Filed under: Homo sapiens (human)
Lineage: Eukaryota; Metazoa; Chordata; Mammalia; Primates; Hominidae
Description: HSALNT0250236
Source: RNAcentral